Gasterosteus aculeatus aculeatus (three-spined stickleback) is the source of this 4299-nucleotide long non-coding RNA. The record is from Ensembl. NCBI's taxonomy places the organism in Eukaryota, Metazoa, Chordata, Actinopteri, Perciformes, Gasterosteidae.
UGCAACGUGUAGGAACCCCUGGUGUUAUUUACCGUUGUCGGAGGUCCAACAGAAACGUAUCCUAAUCCAAAAUAGCAACACCCCCAUCAGUCGUGAAAUGACUACAGGGUGCACGUGUUUUAGACACAUGACAUGGAUGUGGGUUUGGACUGGUGAGAGAAUUUGCUUUCUGUUCUCUGUGCCUUUGUCUCUCCUCUGGCUGCUGCUGUUGGGCCCUCGUCUCUUCAUAUUCAUGUAUAACUUGCAGCUGCUGGCUGAUGCUGCCAAUCCGCCGUAUUCUCAGGCGGUGAUUCCCGGCACGGAUUAGAGCUGCGGUGUCAGUCACGGAUCGCCCGUUACAGGUGGGACGAUGCCACCGGCUGCUUUGAUCAUGAUGGCGGGGAAAUAAAUUAUGCAUAUGCUACACAUUAAUUAUUCCUCUUGUCCCUCCAAACCUGUUGGGAUUUAAAAGGGCCUCCAAAAAAACAUCUCAAGACUGUUUGCUAUAUAGUGAGAUGGGAGGGGGGGGUGGAGUUCACCGGCCGUGUCCUUGCAUGUCAGAUGUAAGACUUUGCGAGGACAAACGUCUGACAGAACCAUCGCGGUUCAACAUCGCAAACUUCUUUUACUUGUCAACUGAAACUUUCCCUCCUGACAUCUGUGUUGGCUUUCCGUCUCGUUGGUAAAUUUAAUUUGAGAUCCUCCUCCUUCCUGGUUCUCUCCCUCUCCCUCCCUCUCUCUCUCUCUCUCCCUCUCUGUCUCUCUCUCUCUGUCUCUUUCUCUGUCUCUCUGUAAAAAUGAAAGUCCCACGUUAAAUCCCAAAACAAGACUGAAUCCACAACACCCAGGAAUGAAUUUCUUGUCCUGUGGUGCAGCAAAUUGUGUUUUUUUUCCUCCCAGCUCAAAGGCAUAUUGCCUAUAAUUAAUAAACAUGAAGCAGAGUGAUUUCUUCUGGAAAGAUUUUUUUUUAAACGUUGGACUUUCUCCAUCAUGAUUUCUAAUUUGAAUUAUGCUCUGAUGUAGAUAUGUGUGUGUGUGUGUUUGUGUGUCUUUAUAUUCAGUAUAUAUAGAGAAAUGUACCAUGUAUGUUAGGGAAAACCAAUACGCACAUGCUUUAGCACUGCCCAUCUUAAUGAGCACACCCAAAUUGGAUAUGCUGACGGUUCUCGUCGUCUGGCUCACCUGUGCCUCCAGUCAUACAUCCAUUCCAGCGCCGACGCACCAUCGAACCAGAGAUAAAAACCCAUUUCAGGAGCAAAUAGAAAAACACAGCCAAAGCUGCACAUCGGAGGGGACAGGAUCAAGUUCCACAUUGUUUAUCGAGUGUUUUGAUUGUUAAUGUGAUUUCCUCGGCUGGGGAGUGGUACACAGAUGGGUUCAGAGACAGACCACAGUAGCCAAAUGUCAACUCCGGGUGUGGAAUCAGUGCUUUGACAAAGCGCGAGUGGGCACGGGGACAGAUGUGGCGCCUGAGGAUGCAGCGGGGACAGAGACAGAGAGAGCGAGAGAGAAGUGGACGUCCCUCUUCGGUGCUGUGCAAACCGGUGCAAUUUGAAAGACUAUUUCACUCCUGAGAAUGUAAUUCACACAAUGCAGUUGAACCGAGGAAGAGGCCAUUCAUUCAUUCAAGUGAGAAUCGGAUGGAGUGAGAGCUGUGCUUUCGCUGAGGUGCAGCGUGUGGACGUGGGCUGGAGCCAUACCUUUGCAAAAAUCCCUUUUGAUUGUAUGUUUGUAAGGGCACGCCGCAUAAAAGCUGAUUUCGGUUUAUUCCUGAAUGAACACUGUGUCCCGAUCUCCCAUUGUGACUCACAAGGUUUAACAUCAAAAGCAUUUCAGAGAAAAGAAACCAUCCACUUUGACAUUUUUUUUAAGAUUGCAAACCAAAGAAUAUUCUCUCGCCGCCAGUCAUGCAGGGACAUCACUUCAAGGUUGAAAUGCAAAAGAUGUAGCCCGUGUAAGACGCCUCUGACGCACGUCUUUAACCUUGCAAUCUCCUUUUAUUUUCAGUAUUACAGAUGGGUGAAUGAAUGCUGCAUGCAACUACGGUGCAUCCUUGAAUUUGUCACACACACAUUGUGAGAAAAGGAUGGAAGAGGCUGAGGUGGAAGUAGAGUGUCUGGAAAGGACUGUUGUGUUAUCCAAGAAUUUUGCACCAAGCCUUUAAGACAACUGCCCCCUCUCCUCUUUCCAACGAUAACGCCGCAGUCUCUGAACACAUCACACGAACGUCGACUUUAACUCUUGUUAGGUGGGUGGCGAUGAAACCGAACAAAGUGGUGCAGUGAUAUCUGCAACAAUCGCACUUCCGAAGGCUUUGUCCAAAGCGCCCAUCUUAUGGUGUUGUUAGUUCAGGAGGAUGAGCAGAGGGAAAAGUGUUUGUGCUCCAGAAUCAUCUAUUCAACAUGAGGAGAAUGAAACAUGUGUGAGGCAGAAAGGAGAUCAGAGCUUCCAGGGACGGCCUCGAAAAAGGUAUUCACAGCAGCCUUGGGUGACCCAACAUUUAUGAAAGACUCGACAUAAAGGAGAGAUGGAACAUGCUUUACGUUGGCAAAGGCAAUAAAGGCCUUUUCUAAUGUAGAAGUCUCAAUUCAUUUUGCAUUUGUGGCACCAUUCACAUUAUCGUCAGACAGAAGCUUGAAUUUGGUUCUAAAAAAUGAAAUGCAAUGUUUUUCUUAAAUGCUAAAAAAAUAGCAAGCAAACUAAUAAUUAUUAUUAUUAAAUCUGCACUGAUCCAUACUUUGGUUUCAGUGGAUAAUGUGUAAUGUGAAAGAGGUGGGAAUGAUUCUUGGACUCCUGCAGUUCCCCUCAGCUGUAAUUCAAUUGGUCAUUCGGAUCAUUGUUUCGAUUUGCGUUUCAUUUGCAAACUUUUGUUUUUGGUUUAGUCUCAUUGCAUUUAACAGCCUCAUUUUAAGGUGCACCAGGUAUUGGUUUACAGUAAAAAGGUCUUUAUUAAACCCACUGCACUGUUGCACCAAACUGUAGGGGGAAUAAAUUAGCGACACAGUGGAGCAUUUAGCUCUUGGAACAUUUCUCACAGGCAUUGUUUGCUUAAAGGAGAGGCAAUGAACUCAGAUGUCCAAACAGAUUGCUAAUAUUUCAUCUUCAAAGUGAACUAGGCAGAAUCAAUAAAGUUAUUGACCGAGUCAGCAGCUUUAUCUCUUUCUUCUCAGCUGAGAACAAUGAACAUUACUUCUUUUAUGGAAGCGAGUUGAGAACAGGAAUCAUCUGCAACGACGGGAAAAUUAUUAACAAUUGUAUUUUGGCAACAGUUCAGUACCAACCUUCCACUUAUAAAAUGUAUUAUAUUAACAAAUAACAAAACGUUCUUUUCUAUGCCAGUUGUAGUGAUCAGAGAACAAAAUUUUAAAAAAGUUGCAUUUGUCAGGUCCCCAAUCCCACCAAAAACCACAUUCCUUAAUUAUGAGAUGAAAAAUAUAGCACUGUCCCUAUUUCUUUCUUUGGUAAACAUGCAGUGAAAACAAGAUUAAAGAGAUCUUUUGAUGUAUUUUAACACAAGUCAUAUCUCCACGUUCAGUUCAUUUAUUAAACAUUUGUGUUUUGUCUCCUAAUCCAUUUCCCCGUAGUUUUCAUAUUUUAAAAUCUGCAUAGAUAAAAAAGACAAGCCCGAAAUCCCUGGUGUAUCACGAUGAAAUGAAAAGAUCUCGUGCUCUGAGAGGAUUGAAAGCUUUUUCAGUGCCGACUUGUCAUGUUCUGUGGAAGAAGUGCUUAAUUAAAUACUGAUUCCCUAUUUAAACACCCUCCUAGCUCUGCUCUCCCAAAAGCAAAGGCACUUCAAAUUAAAAAGGGCAGACACAAACAUGACAGCUGAGACAAAGACGUGCCUGCGGCGUGUCAAAUGUCAAAUGAAAUGCCAGAGAGAACUCCGUGGUUGAUAUGUAGGCCGUGCAACCUCCGUCUCAGCUCCACAGUCCCACGCUGCCGUAAAAGCUGUAUUACUGGAGCUGCAGUGACGCCGAUGACACAUAUUUAAUUCAAAGUGGCCAUGAAAGAGUCAGCAAAGUGCCGGCUCCUUUGCAUGUUAAUAGUGUAGCUACACACGGCGCUUUAGAAAAUGACCCUCCUCAGGUCUCAGCCUGAGACGCACUCGCUGUUAGCGCGGGCCUCCUGAGUGUACACGUCAAACACACUUUGAGGUUGUUGGCGAUCUGGCAAAAGAGCCUGUUGGUUACCUCGGCAACGCGGCCGCACUCCGGCGAAUUGAAGGUACCUUCCUCCUGUCCUCGGAGGUUGCAUUGCCUUUACGUUCCUUUCCCGAUGGGGAAUAACUCGGUAAUCCUCUGACCUUUUCCUGUACCCUCU